AUGGAAAUGGGUGAAGUGUUCCUCCAGCUGUGCCAAGAGGUGGCCAGGCUGCGGGAGCUGUGCUCCAGGCAGAGCGAGCUGCUGCAGAAGUUGAGCGCCAGGAAGGGCCCUGUCCUGGACAUCCCCACAUCGCUGCCCAUCCAGUGCACGGAGGAUGCUUGGGCAGAGGGAGGGGAGCAGCCAGCAGCCAGCCCCCAGGUGCACCCUGAGGCCUCGCAUGGCUCUGCCCACCCGCUGGCCCCACUGCACGCUGCCCACGUGCUGCCCGGCUCCGGUGGUUGGUUCCCAGUGUGCAGUGACCUCGAAGCUGGAAGAGCUGCCCUCCCCGGGGCUUUUGGCAGCAGCCAGGCGGGGAGGAAGGAGAAGAUGCUGGUAGACACAUGGCUGGAGGACUGUAGGAUGGCUCCUACCACAAAUAGCCCCGAGGAAGAAGUGAGACCUUGCUGCAGCCCACAGGAGUUUGCGGCACCAAGCAGUGAGGCUGCGGACUCCUUCCUGACUAUCCUGGAUCUCUACGAAGCCCCAGAAGCCCUUCGGGGGGAGGAUGCUCCCAGCGAGAGCGCUCUGCCUGCUGCAGACAAGGUGCCAGUGGAAAUCCGAGGACCCCUGAAGGUAAAUGUGAAGGGGUCAGAUGUUUCUGUCUGCCACUUCUGUGGGCUCUUCCCAGUGUAAGGGCGCCUGCCCAUUGCCAUCAUCCUUGGGCCAUCACCAUGAUGAUGCCCAUCGCCAUCAUCAGCCCUUGUGUAACGUGGGGAGCUAUGGCAGAAGUUUGUGGUUAAGCCCUGAAACCAGUUAUCCCAUUUCAAGUGGAGUCAGGUCCAUGAAAGCCCCAUGCCAGCGUCUGGUUCGUUUUGGCAGAAACCUAGUUACCCUUCCCGUUCCCAGCUGAGGAAUCCUUGAGGCAGUCUGUAUCGACCUCCAUUGGAUUUAAGAGCUUAAGUGAGCUCUAAAUUAUUUCCUUCAGUCUCUCUGAUUUAUAUGCCCCCAAACAUUGAUUCCAAAAUACAUUCUGAGAUACGUCCCCUCUGUCCUGCUCAAUCUUCAGUGUGUGUUAUGUGUGGGACACCAACACUGGGCUGACUACUGAGGGUCCCUGGAAUGCCAAACUGGUUUCCUUUAAUUCCUUUUCCCAAACAAGACCCUUGUAAAUUAUUUCAUGGCUGUUGUGGUGAUGUAUCCAUGGGGAAAGCUAUUGAUUUUCAGCCUGGGUUAUAUUUAGAAGCUGUUUUCUUCUUAAGAAGAGGGAGAAGAAAGAAAGAAGUAGAAGCGUUGUCUGUCUGGUGAAGUCCUAAUGUGCCUUAUCAGCACUUAAAUGAUAAUGGCACAGGAGGAAAUUAAUACUGCUCUCCAGCUGGCUUCAUACAAAAGCACUUUUCUCAUGCUCUGCCCUAGGGGGAAGCAACGGGUGAUGGGAAGACCCCUGCAGGAUCCUCCAGCAGAUGUGGGGGUCUGGACACAGCUGGGGGCUUGAGGAGAGGCUGCGUCUGCGUUCCCAUUGACCCCUGUCCCUUUGCUCCCCGCAGACCUCCUGGACGCCGGGCUGGGUGCUGGAGGACUCUGUGCUUGGACCGGGCGCAGCCGCGGCCGCUCAGACAUGUGACAUUUGCCAGGAGAUCUUCCCUGCGGACACCGCAGCUCAGGCUGACUAUUUAAAGCACGUCUUAACCCAUAUGAAGUAGAGCUUUAGGACUUCAUGCUCAGGAACCCACGUAUGUGCAACUGUGAGCAGCACAGUGGGUUCCGGACCUUUAGGAGGUGCGGCUGCUGGGUCAGACCAGGCUGCUGUCCCCUUCCGUGUAACCCGGGUUGGUUCCUGCUGCCCUGCCUUGGGCCCCAGUGAGGGUUCUAGGUGUGUUUCAUCUCAUUGAGCUUCGUGGAUAUCAAAACUGCUUCUGUGCUGAGCUCCAGAUGCAUGUAGGAGGUCUGGGGAACUGCAACUUAAUGGGAAAUGGACGUUUUCCCAAAAUUCUCCGUAACUGGAAAAUGUUGAUUUUUUUUUUUCCCUGAAUAGAGAAAAAUAUUUGAAAAGCUGCAUUGUUUUUUUUCCAAGAACACGAGUGAGAGGAUCACCACGUUUUGGUGGCACUAAAUGUGAAUUUGCCUUUGGAGAGGGCGUGAGCGCUGGGGCCGCAUGCACGAUGCCCCCCGCUCUGCUGUGGUGCAAAGCUCUGAUUCCAUCACUACGAGGGGCAGAACUGAGACCUCUCCUCGCUCCUCAUUAAAACCUCAUCAGCUCCAGCUCUUUAGCUCCUGGGAGUUUAAUUGGUCGCUAUCCAGGUGGGAAGAGGCUGCUCAGGGCCCAUAGGUGAGGGAUGGGCUGCUGGGUGUAGGGAAGGGUGGAGUGGCAAGGAGUUCCUGCAGUGCAGCAAUGAGGUGGGCACAUGGGGUGUUAUCCUGCCAUAUCCCUUCUAUUUGGGGUGCUAUCUGUGCUCUCAGAAUGAAGAUUGCACUCCUUCAUUAGCAGCAGAUGUGAUGUUGUUGUUCCAUAACGUUUUCUGUCAAUAGAUAUCCAUGUGCUUUGCAAAGGAGUUCACCUGGAAACAAAAGAGCAAAAUGCUGGUUAGCUCCAAAUCGUUUUGUUUUGCUUCCUUUGGAAAAACCUAAUCUCAGGCCUUUAUGUUCAACAUGUAGCUCUGAAGCAGAUCUGGCAUCGCAUCUUUGAGGCAACUUGCAUUUAAAUCAACGGCCGACGUCUCUGCUUCCAUGGAUGGAGAUUAAUUCCAGUCUCCAGCUCCAGAAUCUCAUCUUUAGCAGCACAGAUAAUAGCAAAGACUCGAGGCUCUUCCCAGAAGUGUAGCUGCAUUAUGAAGCUGCUGUGACCGCAGCGGAGCUGAUGACAAACAUCUGUGUGUCCCGAGGAACUCGUCCUUCAGAUGGGCAGGGACUGAUGUGCAUGGGGCAGAACCGGCUCCUGGCAAUUUGGGAUUUGCAGACUUGGGGUUUGCAGCCACUUCUCUGGGGACCUUUUUCCAGGAUGGAGCCCUCAGCUCUCUUGCUUAGAGCCACAGCUCUGGGCUCAGUUCCUUCCAUGCAGAUUCUGGAGCUGCUCCUUGGCCUCAGCACAAUUAGGACCUUGACUUGGUGGGGGUCAAAGUGGGAAUUCUUACAUCACAGUGCAGAACCCCCGUUGGCAUCUCCAACAGCUCCAAGCUGCCUCCUGUGGCUCUCCAAUUUAAUUAGGCAGUGGCAUCAUUGUAUAGUGUUUUGUGCUGUUCUGUAGGGCCUGGAAGAAAGUAUCUGUUCACAGCUUGCAGAAUUACUAGAAGCACCAGCUCUGACAGCGCUCUGCAUCAAGAAGGGCCGUAAAUUCAUUUGGCAUAAAAUUGUAACAGCUAUCCAGAAUUUGCCAGAAGGAAGAAAACCAACCCGGUUCCUCCUGCUCUGAGAGCAAGUCCAAUAAAUUUAAUUUAAAAAUUGUGAGCA
Numida meleagris (helmeted guineafowl) is the source of this 3423-nucleotide long non-coding RNA. Ensembl lists it as uncharacterized. NCBI's taxonomy places the organism in Eukaryota, Metazoa, Chordata, Aves, Galliformes, Numididae. The record is from Ensembl.